GACGAACGCUGGCGGCGUGCUUAACACAUGCAAGUCGAACGGAAAGGCCCUGCUUUUGUGGGGUGCUCGAGUGGCGAACGGGUGAGUAACACGUGAGUAACCUGCCCUUGACUUUGGGAUAACUUCAGGAAACUGGGGCUAAUACCGGAUAGGAGCUACUGCUGCAUGGUGGGGGUUGGAAAGUUUCGGCGGUUGGGGAUGGACUCGCGGCUUAUCAGCUUGUUGGUGGGGUAGUGGCUUACCAAGGCUUUGACGGGUAGCCGGCCUGAGAGGGUGACCGGCGACAUUGGGACUGAGAUACGGCCCAGACUCCUACGGGAGGCAGCAGUGGGGAAUAUUGCACAAUGGGCGGAAGCCUGAUGCAGCAACGCCGCGUGCGGGAUGACGGCCUUCGGGUUGUAAACCGCUUUCGCCUGUGACGAAGCGUGAGUGACGGUAAUGGGUAAAGAAGCACCGGCUAACUACGUG
This 468-nucleotide ribosomal RNA is filed under the name uncultured bacterium. RNAcentral describes it as "partial 16S ribosomal RNA". It matches the Rfam family "Bacterial small subunit ribosomal RNA", at positions 28 to 507 of the family's 1533-position model. The record is from RNAcentral.